GCAGAGACUAGAGUCACAUCCCGACACAGAACUUGUCCUGGUGUGCUACAGUUCUCGGAGAGAAUUUGCUGGUCUUGAUUCACUGGGGGGGGGGGGACAAUUAAUGUCCCCAUUAGUGCCCAGAUCAGAAACAUAG
Molecule: small nucleolar RNA, 136 nt
Organism: Marmota marmota marmota (Alpine marmot)
Lineage: Eukaryota; Metazoa; Chordata; Mammalia; Rodentia; Sciuridae
Source: Ensembl